RNAcentral lists this ribosomal RNA (301 nucleotides) under uncultured bacterium. RNAcentral describes it as "partial 16S ribosomal RNA". It matches the Rfam family "Bacterial small subunit ribosomal RNA", at positions 509 to 809 of the family's 1533-position model. The record is from RNAcentral.
CAGCCGCCGCGGUAAUACGUAGGGCGCAAGCGUUAUCCGGAAUUAUUGGGCGUAAAGAGCUCGUAGGCGGUUUGUCGCGUCUGCCGUGAAAGUCCGGGGCUCAACCCCGGAUCUGCGGUGGGUACGGGCAGACUAGAGUGAUGUAGGGGAGACUGGAAUUCCUGGUGUAGCGGUGAAAUGCGCAGAUAUCAGGAGGAACACCGAUGGCGAAGGCAGGUCUCUGGGCAUUAACUGACGCUGAGGAGCGAAAGCAUGGGGAGCGAACAGGAUUAGAUACCCCGGUAGUCCCUGUCUCUUAUAA